Molecule: non-coding RNA, 21 nt
Filed under: Arabidopsis thaliana (thale cress)
Lineage: Eukaryota; Viridiplantae; Streptophyta; Magnoliopsida; Brassicales; Brassicaceae
Source: RNAcentral
UUUGUGGCUAUAACAAAACCA